Bradysia coprophila is the source of this 536-nucleotide long non-coding RNA. RefSeq lists it as uncharacterized. The record is from RefSeq and is a predicted model, not a curated record. Lineage: Eukaryota; Metazoa; Arthropoda; Insecta; Diptera; Sciaridae.
UUGACGUAACUUUCAUUUUUGUUCUGCGAAAGUUUGUUUACAGAGUAGCCUUAUCAAGAAGGUUUAAGAACUGAUGUUGUUGCAGGGUCUAAAGAAAUGUAUCUAUCAACGAUAAUAGUGAAAUGAAACGAAAAAAAAAAUCAAAAUAGACGCUAGGAUCGAACUCGGGUCCAGUACACUACAACUCAACAACCUUAACUACUACUCAAACGAGGCGCUGUGAAUUCAGGAACCAAGAAGCAGCUACCGAACAAUGAUACUGGAUGAGGACAAGUGGAUCAAGAUUUGAAAAUAUUUCUGACGAGAUGAUGCAUCUAUACUUCCUGCCACUUCCCAACUACGUCACCCCAUAAAAGCUGACUUCGAAAUUGUCAUCCCGUUUUGCACGCAAUGACAAAAGAGUUCACUACCAAGUUGCUAAUCAUUAGGAGACGCAUCAUGUUUCAUCAAUGGGUUCAAAUAAAAAUCAUUCGAAAUGAGACUGCUGUGAUGGAAAUAAGUGAUGAAAUAUUUGUGCUCAGAAUCUCAUAAUAAAC